GCCCCCUAUGAUUUCUAUUUCAUUCAUUUUGAAAUUAAAUUACUUUUAAAUCUCAAAAUUUUUCUAUUUAAAAUCAUCUAUUAAGUAAGAAUUAAUAUUUGAUUAAUAUUUGAUUAAUUUGAUUUUGGGACAUUUCAUUACGAUUUUAAUAUUAAAAGGUGAGCAAAUAUCUUCUUUCUUUCUGAGAUAUUCGUUUCUUAAAAAAAACGACAAUUAAAAAAAUUCUACAAAACAAAAGAAUAAUACUCAAUUUAGUAAUCAAUCUUUAAGAAAACAAUAUAUAUUGUUUUUUAUGGAAUGGACAGAAAAAAGUCUAGGCAAGUACAAUACUACUUAUUGAAUCAUUGAAAAGAAAAUAAAGGAGCAAAACCUCUCUUGGUAGACCAAGAAAGAGUUUAUUGCUCCUUAUAUUAUUCUAUUUUCGAAACCUCCUAUACACUAAGACCAAGUCUUAUCC
Molecule: unclassified non-coding RNA, 457 nt
Filed under: Pedicularis sp. 1 WBY-2012
Lineage: Eukaryota; Viridiplantae; Streptophyta; Magnoliopsida; Lamiales; Orobanchaceae
Description: trnH-psbA intergenic spacer
Source: RNAcentral